AAGUUUUAGUUUUUUUGCGAGGGAUUUACUACUCCUACUCGCAGAUCCCUAGCAAACUUUGCGAGGGACUUACGACAUUUCUUAGUUAUAUAUAUAUAUAUAUAUCGACAUCCUAGGUUUGAGCUGCCGCUUUAGACAAAGUCACAAAACCCUAAUUUGCUACUUCUUCUCUGGUUCAAUUUUCUUCUUCUUCUUCUCCGAUCUAUCUCUUCUACGAUAUAACUUCUUCUCCGAUCUGUCUUCUCCUACGUCUCUAUAUGCUUAUUCAAUCUAUCUUCUUCUCCUUUUAGCUUCGUCUCCUCUUCUUUUCCGUUCAACUGACAAUAAUCUCUGGAAUCUUCAUCCCCAUCUGUCGUACCAAGAUCUUGGUUAGACUCCCCUAGAUCUGCUAUUUGUGACAGAUGUCUUCACAUUCUGGAAACGAUUACUCAAAAUACCUUUCACAGAAUGGUCGAACUGCACCUGUCAUUGUAGGGAACACCUCUGCGAUUCAAGGAUUGGUUCUCUACAGCAUGAAGCAUCUUCUGUUGCUACUGGUCCACCGCCUCCUCGUGAUGAUCCGGUUGAUCUUUCUCAGAAGCUUGCUGUGGCUGAAGCUUGCAGCAAAGUUUUGAGCAGGAAGCCAACCAGACAACACCAACACCAAUGCGACCAGAACUGCGGUGAACAACGCGACGGGACCUGGUGAGAAGGAAGGUGAUGCUGCUAUGACCGGAACUACAGGUCUUGUGACCGGUAACGGAUCAAGAUCCUCUCCAACAGAAACCUUUUAAUUAGAUAUGUUAAUUGGUUUCUCUUUAAGACUAAGACAAUUUUAAUGUUUUGUAAUCAUAAGUUUAAGCCUACUAUGCUUUCUACAUUUGGAUAAUUCAAAUUUGAUUUUUAUUU
Molecule: long non-coding RNA, 888 nt
Organism: Arabidopsis lyrata subsp. lyrata
Lineage: Eukaryota; Viridiplantae; Streptophyta; Magnoliopsida; Brassicales; Brassicaceae
Exons: 3
Source: RefSeq, a predicted model, not a curated record